RNAcentral lists this ribosomal RNA (403 nucleotides) under uncultured bacterium. RNAcentral describes it as "partial 16S ribosomal RNA". It matches the Rfam family "Bacterial small subunit ribosomal RNA", at positions 30 to 526 of the family's 1533-position model. The record is from RNAcentral.
AUUGAACGCUGGCGGCAGGCCUAACACAUGCAAGUCGAGCGAGCGGCGGACGGGUGAGUAAUGUAUGGGGACUGCCCGAUAGAGGGGGAUAACUACUGGAAACGGUAGCUAAUACCGCAUACUAUCGGAUAACCCAUAUGGGAUUGGCUAGUAGGUGAGGUAAUGGCUCACCUAGGCGACGCUCCCUAGCGGGUCUGAGAGGAUGAUCAGCCACCCGGGGACUGAGACACGGCCCAGACUCCUACGGAGGCAGCAGUGGGGAAUAUUGGAAAAUGGGCGCAAGCCUGAUGCAGCCAUGCCGCGUGGAUGAGGAAGGCCCUAGGGUUGUAAAGUACUUUCAGUCGGGAGGGGUUACCGACAGAAGAAGCACCGGCUAACUACGUGCCAGCAGCCGCGGUAAUAC